This 258-nucleotide long non-coding RNA is filed under the name Mytilus galloprovincialis (Mediterranean mussel). The record is from RNAcentral. Lineage: Eukaryota; Metazoa; Mollusca; Bivalvia; Mytilida; Mytilidae.
UGUGGGUACUCAUUUUUUUCAUGGAAUUUGAUGAAAACUUGCAUUUCGUGGAAGAUGUGAUAUGAGAACCAAUGAGACAACUCUCCAUCCAAAUAACAAUUUAUAAAAGUAAACAGUUAUAGGUCAAGGUACGGCCUUCAACACGGAGCAAAGUCUGUAUACGAGCCUCUAUGAAAUUUGUCAUUUGCUGAACAUUUUGGUUCAUCUGUACUGACCAAACCCACGGUAUCCAACCAACAAUAAUGAAUCUCACAGUCU